GACGAACGCUGGCGGCGUGCUUAACUCAUGCAAGUCGAACGCGCCUGUCCUCUGGGUUUCUGGGGGGUGGGUGAGUGGCGAACGGGUGAGUAACACGUGAGUAACCUGCCCCCUUCUUCGGGAUAACGGUCUGAAAGGGCUGCUAAUACCGGGUAUUCACUGGUCUCCGCAUGGGGUCUGGUGGAAAGGUUUUUUUCUGGUGGGGGAUGGGCUCGCGGCCUAUCAGCUUGUUGGUGGGGUGAUGGCCCACCAAGGCUUUGACGGGUAGCCGGCCUGAGAGGGUGACCGGUCACAUUGGGACUGAGAUACGGCCCAGACUCCUACGGGAGGCAGCAGUGGGGAAUAUUGCACAAUGGGCGCAAGCCUGAUGCAGCGACGCCGCGUGAGGGAUGGAGGCCUUCGGGUUGUGAACCUCUUUGGCCCGUGGUCAAGCCGCGACGUGGGUCGUGGUGAGGGUAGUGGGUAAAGAAGCGCCGGCUAACUACGUG
RNAcentral lists this ribosomal RNA (488 nucleotides) under uncultured bacterium. RNAcentral's name for it is "partial 16S ribosomal RNA". It matches the Rfam family "Bacterial small subunit ribosomal RNA", at positions 28 to 507 of the family's 1533-position model. The record is from RNAcentral.